GUCUAACAGAUUUUUAAAAUGUCAUCUCAUUGUUUGAAUUUGCACUUCUAUGUGUUUAUUCUGUGAACUGUUCUAACAUACCUUUGGCUAAUUCUUUUCUUUCAGGUACUUCAUGGACCCAGGUUCAAUCCACUUUGCUAUUAUUCACUAUAGUGGGAAAAGAGGGAUGGAGGUUCACAGCCUCUCAUGCUUGUUAUGGAAAUGAAAUACAUCCCUGAUGCAAUCCAUUGGUCAGAAUUGGUCAUAUGACCUGGCAUAACAGCAAAGAAGGCUGGGAAACUCAAUGAUGUCAAGAGGUCUGUGGCAAGACAUAAACAUCACAGUGGAAGUGUAUAAUCCAGGAGAGCUGCUUCUCCUCAUGGUAGUCAAGAAAGCUCCAGGGUCAAAACAAACCAUCAAAGAGUGCCUCCAAUUGUAGGGAAAAGGAUCUAGCCAAAGAAACAUUGAGCAGAGCCAGAGAGACACACUUUGACCCAGCAACCAGAACCAAAGAAAUGUACCCUGACUCUGAAACUAGUGCCAAAGAAACACACUUUGUCUCUAGAAGCAGAGUCAGUGAAAGAAAUGCACCCUGGCCCUAAAAGUAGGGCCAGAAAGCCAAAAAGACCAGUAAAAUACACACACUUUGGCCCUGAAACUAGAGUCCAAUCUGGCCCUAAACCCAUGCAGAAAACCAACCAAUCCCUGAACAGAGAGCUAGCCAAUCAGUUCAGGGACUCAAAUCGGACCAAUCCCUGCCCCCUGGAAAAACUAUAUAAACCCUGUGUCCCCAUGGAACUGUAAGAAGA
RNAcentral lists this long non-coding RNA (788 nucleotides) under Cricetulus griseus (Chinese hamster). RNAcentral describes it as "lncRNA (ENSCGRG00015035155.1)". The record is from RNAcentral. Lineage: Eukaryota; Metazoa; Chordata; Mammalia; Rodentia; Cricetidae.